RNAcentral lists this microRNA precursor (262 nucleotides) under Gossypium raimondii (Peruvian cotton). Its description in RNAcentral is "miR8681 stem-loop (gra-MIR8681)". The record is from miRBase by way of RNAcentral. Lineage: Eukaryota; Viridiplantae; Streptophyta; Magnoliopsida; Malvales; Malvaceae.
UGUCCACUAAGCAGUGGGUUGAACCCCAACAAUGUCAAGGUAUUGUCCUGUGUACAGUCAUGGAGGGAGAGCACCUCGGUGUAGAUACGACUUGCAAUGCUCAGAGGAGAGAUGUUGGUAUAGCGCAUAACAAUAAUUAUGGAAAUCACCUACGUUUGGGGGACUCGAUCCAUCAACCUAAAGCUUAUAAUCCACAUACUUGCAAGUACGGUACCACUUGAGCUACCUUGACAUUGUUGAGGGUCUAAUCGGCUGCUUGACG